This 253-nucleotide ribosomal RNA is filed under the name uncultured bacterium. RNAcentral's name for it is "partial 16S ribosomal RNA". It matches the Rfam family "Bacterial small subunit ribosomal RNA", at positions 524 to 776 of the family's 1533-position model. The record is from RNAcentral.
UACGGAGGGUGCAAGCGUUAAUCGGAAUCACUGGGCGUAAAGCGCGCGUAGGUGGCUAUUUAGGUCAGAUGUGAAAGCCCUGGGCUCAACCUGGGAAUGGCAUUUGAUACUGGAUAGCUAGAGUAUGGUAGAGGUGAGUGGAAUUCCGAGUGUAGAGGUGAAAUUCGUAGAUAUUCGGAAGAACACCAGUGGCGAAGGCGGCUCGCUGGACAAGUAUUGACGCUGAGGUGCGAAAGCGUGGGGAGCAAACAGG